Molecule: long non-coding RNA, 458 nt
Filed under: Malus domestica (apple)
Lineage: Eukaryota; Viridiplantae; Streptophyta; Magnoliopsida; Rosales; Rosaceae
Description: long non-coding RNA (MDOM_LNC004853)
Source: RNAcentral
AUCAUUCAGUAGAAAAUUUAUGUUGGAGAAAGAGAAUCGGAUGAGAGAGAUUUACCCGAGGACAUUUUAUGAGUAUUGGUGGAUUAUGAUUGUAUGAAAUUUCGGGGACGAAAUUUUAUAAGGUGGGUAGAUUGUCACAGCCCGUCCCAAAGUUUUACACUCGUGAUGGUGAAUUAACGGAAAUGUCCCUAAUACGUGACUAAGGUAUAAUUUUCACGUUCGUUAUAUCUAAGCUCCUAAACUUUGGUAAUUAGAGUGGAGACUUAGACUUAAAUUUUAUGAUAGAAUUUUGUAGUUGGGGAUUGGGUAGGAUCCCACACACCUCAAAUCCUUCCCUCUUUCCCGUACCCUGUCUCUCUCUCUCCUCCCUCACGAACUCUCACUCUCUGUUCUAUCCCUCUCAAAUGCACGGACAAACUCCAAAACCACCCUAAACUUCUACCAACGGAGUUAAGACC